RNAcentral lists this ribosomal RNA (998 nucleotides) under Kocuria flava. Its description in RNAcentral is "bacterial SSU rRNA". It matches the Rfam family "Bacterial small subunit ribosomal RNA", at positions 56 to 1051 of the family's 1533-position model. The record is from RNAcentral. Lineage: Bacteria; Bacillati; Actinomycetota; Actinomycetes; Micrococcales; Micrococcaceae.
UGCAAGUCGAACGAUGAUCUCCCGCUUGCGGGGGUGAUUAGUGGCGAACGGGUGAGUAAUACGUGAGUAACCUGCCCUUGACUCUGGGAUAAGCCUGGGAAACCGGGUCUAAUACUGGAUACUACUCCUCAUCGCAUGGUGGGGGGUGGAAAGGGUUUUACUGGUUUUGGAUGGGCUCACGGCCUAUCAGCUUGUUGGUGGGGUAAUGGCUCACCAAGGCGACGACGGGUAGCCGGCCUGAGAGGGUGACCGGCCACACUGGGACUGAGACACGGCCCAGACUCCUACGGGAGGCAGCAGUGGGGAAUAUUGCACAAUGGGCGGAAGCCUGAUGCAGCGACGCCGCGUGAGGGAUGACGGCCUUCGGGUUGUAAACCUCUUUCAGCAGGGAAGAAGCCACAAGUGACGGUACCUGCAGAAGAAGCGCCGGCUAACUACGUGCCAGCAGCCGCGGUAAUACGUAGGGCGCAAGCGUUGUCCGGAAUUAUUGGGCGUAAAGAGCUCGUAGGCGGUCUGUCGCGUCUGCUGUGAAAGCCCGGGGCUCAACCCCGGGUCUGCAGUGGGUACGGGCAGACUAGAGUGCAGUAGGGGAGACUGGAAUUCCUGGUGUAGCGGUGAAAUGCGCAGAUAUCAGGAGGAACACCGAUGGCGAAGGCAGGUCUCUGGGCUGUUACUGACGCUGAGGAGCGAAAGCAUGGGGAGCGAACAGGAUUAGAUACCCUGGUAGUCCAUGCCGUAAACGUUGGGCACUAGGUGUGGGGGACAUUCCACGUUCUCCGCGCCGUAGCUAACGCAUUAAGUGCCCCGCCUGGGGAGUACGGCCGCAAGGCUAAAACUCAAAGGAAUUGGCGGGGGGCCCGCCACAAGCGGCGGAAGCAGGCGGAUUAAUUCCGAUGCAACGCGAAGAAACUUUACCAAGGCUUGACAUUCACCGGGACCGCACUUGGAGACAAGUGUUUCCCCUUCGGGGGUCGGGUGGAAAGGUGGGUGCAUGGUUU